Molecule: ribosomal RNA, 387 nt
Filed under: uncultured bacterium
Lineage: Bacteria
Description: partial 16S ribosomal RNA
Rfam family: Bacterial small subunit ribosomal RNA
Source: RNAcentral
CCUACGUGUGGCUGCAGUGAGGAAUAUUGGUCAAUGGCCGAGAGUCUGAACCAGCCAAGUCGCGUGCGGGAAGACUGUCCUCUGGAUUGUAAACCUCUUUUGUUAGGGAGCAAAAUCACCCUCGUGUGGCUGUUAUCGAAUGUCUGAAGAGAAAGCGUCGGCUAACUCCGUGCACGCGUCCGCGGGGAUACGUGGGAGGCGAGGGUUAUCCGGUGUUAUUUGGGGUAAAGGGUGCGUAGGCGGCUUAUACAGAAAGCGGUAAAAUCGUGGAGCUCAACGCCGUACAGCCGUUGAAACUGAUGACCUUGAGUGGGCGCAAAGUAGGCGGAAUGCGUGGUGUAGCGGUGAAAUGCAUAGAUAUCAUGCAGAACUCCGAUCGCGAAGGCA